GGAGUUAGCCGGUGCUUCUUCUGUGAGUGAUGUCCUUCCUGCCGGCUAUUAACCCGCAGGCCUUCUUCCUCACUGAAAGUGCUUUACAACCCGAAGGCCUUCUUCACACACGCGGCAUGGCUGGAUCAGGGUUGCCCCCAUUGUCCAAUAUUCCCCACUGCUGCCUCCCGUAGGAGUCUGGGCCGUGUCUCAGUCCCAGUGUGGCUGAUCAUCCUCUCAGACCAGCUACGGAUCGUCGCCUUGGUGAGCCGUUACCUCACCAACCAGCUAAUCCGACAUAGGCUCAUCCGAUAGCGCGAGGCCCGAAGGUCCCCCGCUUUCCCCCGUAGGGCGUAUGCGGUAUUAGCCUGGGUUUCCCCAGGUUAUCCCCCACUACCGGGCAGAUUCCUAUGCAUUACUCACCCGUCCGCCGCUCGCCACCAGGGAGCAAGCUCCCCGUGCUGCCGCUCGACUUGCAUGUGUUAGGCCUGCCGCCAGCGUUCAAUCUAAGCCAGAAUCGAACCCUGA
This 507-nucleotide ribosomal RNA is filed under the name uncultured bacterium. RNAcentral's name for it is "partial 16S ribosomal RNA". The record is from RNAcentral.